RNAcentral lists this ribosomal RNA (548 nucleotides) under uncultured Glomeromycotina. RNAcentral describes it as "SSU rRNA". It matches the Rfam family "Eukaryotic small subunit ribosomal RNA", at positions 548 to 1098 of the family's 1831-position model. The record is from RNAcentral. Lineage: Eukaryota; Fungi; Glomeromycota.
UUGGAGGGCAAGUCUGGUGCCAGCAGCCGCGGUAAUUCCAGCUCCAAUAGCGUAUAUUAAAGUUGUUGCAGUUAAAAAGCUCGUAGUUGAAUUUCGGGAUCAAGGAAUCGGUCAUGCCUUGGUAUGUACUGGUUUUAUUGGUUCUCACCUUCUAAAAAACCAUAAUGUCAUUUAUUUGAUGUUAUGGGGAAUUAGGACUGUUACCUUGAAAAAAUUAGAGUGUUUAAAGCAAGCUUACGCUUGAAUACAUUAGCAUGGAAUAAUGAAAUAGGACAUCAGAUUCUAUUUUGUUGGUUUCUAGGAUCGAUGUAAUGAUUAAUAGGGAUAGUUGGGGGCAUUAGUAUUCAAUUGUCAGAGGUGAAAUUCUUGGAUUUAUUGAAGACUAACUACUGCGAAGGCAUUUGCCAAGGAUGUUUUCAUUAAUCAAGAACGAAAGUUAGGGGAUCGAAGACGAUCAGAUACCGUCGUAGUCUUAACCAUAAACUAUGCCGACUAGGGAUCGGAUGAUGUUAAUUUUUUAAUGACUCAUUCGGCGCCUUACGGGAAAC